This 2070-nucleotide long non-coding RNA is filed under the name Homo sapiens (human). RNAcentral's name for it is "HSALNT0094369". Lineage: Eukaryota; Metazoa; Chordata; Mammalia; Primates; Hominidae. The record is from RNAcentral.
AUACUAUGAACAUAUCUUGUAAUCAACAAUAUGCUAGUCAAGUAACUACUGUGGGAUGACAGCAAAUAGAAGAUAGAGGUGAAUAUUUUUCUGGUUCCCUAGUGGGGAGGGGCUUUUUUUCCAUCUAUAGAGGCAAAUAUAUAAAUCAAAAGAAAAGACUAGUAAGUCUAAAAUACUAGAAAUAAAAUUAAAGGCAAGUAAACAAAUAUGGAAAUAUUGGUUAUAUAUGUAUGUACAAAAGUAUAGCUAUCUUUAAUAUUUAAUAGACAUUUCACAAAACAGUACAAAUGGCCAAUAAUUUGAGAAAAAAAAUAUCGACUUCCCCAGCAUUCAAAGAAAUGAAAAGUAAAAAACAUGCUACUUUUCAUCUAUCUAUCUAUCUAUUUCAUAUAUAUACACACACAUAUAUAUAAAAGUUUCAGGUAAGAUGGUGCUGAUUUAUCAACAUGAAUAAAAAAACUUGAAACAUGAUCCAACCUGUGAUCCACUGCAAAGUAUUUAUCUUAGGGUAACAAUGUGAGGUACACAAAAACCUUCUGUAACAGAAUGUCUAUGGAUAUCAAUAACAGCAAAACCUUGGAAACAAUCUCAAUUUCCCAACCACAGGGAAAUAGUAAUACAAAUUACAGUGUAUCUAUCUACAAGACAAAGCACUAUGAAGACACUGAAAGUCAUAUUUUUGAAGACUAUUUAAUGUAUGGGAAUAUACAAUAAGACAACUGGUCAUUUUUUUUAAAGCACAGGAGAAAAGGAACAGAAAUAUAUAAAAAUUUUAAGAAACUUUCAAAACACUAUUUUUUCAUAGUAUAAAUACUCUACAAGGACUACUUUACACUGUUAAACUAUGGAUAAAAGCCUUUUAAAAAAAUGUCUUGUGUUGAAACUGCCUUCCCCCAAAAACAUGUUAUAAAGGAAUAUUAAGUUAAAAAAAAAUAGAACUUGGCCAGGUGUGAUGGCUCAAGCCUGUAAUCUCAGCACUAUGGGAGGCCGUGGCGAGCAGAUCACUUGAGGUCAGGAGUUCGAGACCAGCCUGGCCAACCUGGAGAAACCCCCUCUAUACAAAAAUUAGCUGGGUGGUGGUAUACACCUGUAAUCACAUCUACUCAGGAGGUUGGGGCAGGAGAAUCGCUUGAACCCGAGAGGCAGAAGCUGCAGUCAGUGAGCCAGGACUGUGCCACUGCACUCCAGCCUGGGUGACAGAGCAAGACUCUGUCUCCAAAAAAAAAAAAAAAAGGAACUUGACUAUGAAGUUUAAUGUUAAUGUCAGAUGAGUCACAAGCAAUUUUUAAAAUCUGAGCUUCCCUAAAUUAGUGCUGUACAACUUUAAAAUAUAGUACAGAAUUCAUAUUAAAUACAGCACAUCAAGAAGUUAUAAAAUAUUCUAAUGAAUAAACAUUAGAAUGCUCUGUAACAUAUUAAACCCUUAGUAAUGAAUGUUUCCAGUUGUUAAUGGAAAAUCAAAUGGAAAACAUGAAAAAAGGAGUUAUUAAGUAACAUUUUGUAUUUGUCAUACAGAAAAUUCACCAAUUAUGGACGUUUCUCCAAAAACGUGUCAAGAGAAAGAGAAAAACAAAAAUGCAUGACUAUGAAUCUACCCAAGUCAGAAAUUCAAGGCCCUGUCUAAAGACACAUCCUGAAUCAAACCAUAUGAGAAAAAUUACAAGACAAGAACACAUUUCAAAAUGGAGGUAGAGGAAACAACACUUUUGGGUAAAGUACAACUGAUGAUUGUGCCAACAUGUGCUAACCCACAGCCCGCAACUGAGGCUGAUACUCCCUGGCAACACUCCAAUUACCACCUCUCAUCUGGCAAGCCCAGUAGUUCAGUUCCUCAACAUCAACGAGCUUGAUAUGAUUGCAGGGAAGUGGCGCCCCUACGUGCCCUGGAACACCGGAGCAAGAUGGCAUUUGUUAGUGUUCAGAUCUGUUUUAGCACUGAAGAUGUUCCAAGCCCCUUAAAAUCUCUGAGUGGCCAAAGUGGGGAAUUAUGGAUGGAAAGUAACACAUCUUUAAAGGGGCAUUUGUUACUGCAAGUGUUGGUAAUAAAACAAAGUGCUGGAGAAAGCAAAG